This is a long non-coding RNA of Cercocebus atys (sooty mangabey), 1595 nucleotides long. RefSeq lists it as uncharacterized. The transcript is spliced from 3 exons. NCBI's taxonomy places the organism in Eukaryota, Metazoa, Chordata, Mammalia, Primates, Cercopithecidae. The record is from RefSeq and is a predicted model, not a curated record.
UCAUCUGAAUCUUCAGUGCAUAUUUCAAAUUCAGAACAUCAGUCUGUGGAUCAGCCUCCACCCAAACAAUGAAGCUCAAACCUGCAUAUUUUGUCUUCUUCCUCUCCCUUGGCCUCUACAGCCAGUCAGCAAAUCCUGAAGAGCCAGCAAAUCCAGAAGAGCCAGCUUCCUCCAGCACCACCCUGACUUCUUCACAGUCACUACCAGAUUCUGCUGUGAGGAAAGUCAGAGUAACCAAUUCUCACCAAAAUGAAGUGUUGAAAACAAAUGAAAAGCUCACAUUUGGAAAUCACAUGGAAAACUAAUUGUGGAUUCAUCUCAACUCUCAGGUGUUUAGAACUGCGGCCACCAUAAAGAGGACCCCCUUAUGUGGAAGGCGUGCCAGGGGGUGGUAUGGCCUCGGUGGGGUGUGCAGAAGAACUAACAAUGCUGGUAACUGAACUAGACGGUGGUGGUCAAAAGCCCAAAGGAAGAGUUAUGGUGGAGAAGGUGGUGCAGUAAUUUUUACUGCUUCUGAACUGGAUGAUUACAGCUGUUUUACAAUUGAAUGAUUUCUAUUUUUCUGCUUUUAGUGAUGGAAAAUUCUAGUAAUAAAACCUGCCCACCUCUUAAGUUUUACUUUGUGGUCCACCCUUUCAAGGCAGAUUCAGUUCAUCAAGAAUGGCUUCCAGCUGCAUUAGAAGGGUGUGUUCAGUAUCCUGUUCAGUGUGAGUUUCCAUCUCUAAGCAAUUUGGUCAUCUCUUUCUGGCAGCUCUGAUCUCAUAGGCUGUGUUGUCAAGACUCAGGCCGGCCACACAGAUCUUCCUCUGAAUAACUUUGCCAUGUCCUGUAGAUGCCAGCUGCUUGCACUGUAAUUUAGUUUCCCCAGUUCAUAUUUAGGAAGACUAAAAACUCUCUAAAGAGAACACCCUGUCUUAGGCAUUUCUAGCACAUAUUUGGUGAGAAAGCUAUUGUAUGGGUUCGCUGGAAACCCACAAAUGGCCCAGACUUGAUGUCACACAUACCCCAGCCUUUCCCCAACACCUCUUUAUGACACUACCAUCUGCACCCUGGAAUGAAAAACUGUUUUUAUUGUUUCUAGAAAGAACAUUUUCCACAAUUUUUGUGGGUGGCCUUUCCAUACAGCACACCUAACAUGACUGAAACACCAGAGCGCGGCUCCUUGGGAACAAGCAGCCCCUGGAAGAUUCUUGUAUUUAUUAGGAUGAGGAGAAAAGGUAGGCUGCUGGUGUAUCUUUUAUAUCCAAUAAAAUAAUCAUAAAUGUAAGCUAAGCAAAAAAUCAGUUGCCCAAAUGUUGCCCCAAACACCGGCUAAGGCAAUGUGAAUGGAAGAGGGAGGCAUUAAAGAGAGAGAGCUUGGUGGGUAGGAGAUUGAUGGGAGAAAAAAAGCAAUGAGAGAACACAUCUAGGUAGCCAAUCAUGGCAGAACACAACUGGGUGGCCAUUGUGGCUGCUCAGUCCUGAAACAGAUUGUCCUGUUCCUCAGUGCUAGGGGACAGUCGUCUCCAAAAUGGGAUAUGCCCCAGGAGACAACCCACUAUGGUGUGGGAAGAAAAUAUUUGUAGCACUCAUGUUUGCAUCUCUAAUCCCUUCUU